RNAcentral lists this ribosomal RNA (447 nucleotides) under uncultured bacterium. Its description in RNAcentral is "bacterial SSU rRNA". It matches the Rfam family "Bacterial small subunit ribosomal RNA", at positions 355 to 825 of the family's 1533-position model. The record is from RNAcentral.
UGGGGAAUCUUGCGCAAUGGGCGAAAGCCUGACGCAGCCAUGCCGCGUGAAUGAUGAAGGUCUUAGGAUUGUAAAAUUCUUUCACCGGGGACGAUAAUGACGGUACCCGGAGAAGAAGCCCCGGCUAACUUCGUGCCAGCAGCCGCGGUAAUACGAAGGGGGCUAGCGUUGCUCGGAAUUACUGGGCGUAAAGGGCGCGUAGGCGGACAUUUAAGUCAGGGGUGAAAUCCCAGAGCUCAACUCUGGAACUGCCUUUGAUACUGGGUGUCUUGAGUGUGAGAGAGGUAUGUGGAACUCCGAGUGUAGAGGUGAAAUUCGUAGAUAUUCGCAGGAACACCAGUGGCGAAGGCGACUUGCUGGACUUAUGGUGACGCUGAGACGCGAAAGCGUGGGGAGCAAACAGGAUUAGAUACCCACGUAGUCCCUGAGCGGGCUGGCAAGGCGCAU